AAUUAAAACACAACAAAAAAUAUGUUACGAUAUAAUUUACAGUUAUAGUAACUAAUGCGGCUACAUCCUGACGAUAUUUUUAUAAAUAUUUUGUAGCAUGAAUGGCAAUUUUUCCUAUGAUCUUCGAGUUAGUUAACUUCUGUUAUUUAAGAGGAAUGCGUUUACUGCAUUUUUUUAGUUAUAGCACUCUCUAGUCCCGCCGUGUGUCGCUUGUUGUAGAAAAUCCAAAGAAUGGGAUGAGCUUAGACCAGCGUUCUUUAUUUUGUUUUUGUCACUGUCUAGCUCCGCAUCCCUGGCUUAUAUUAGUUAACAACGAAAUCAAUGAUCAAAAGAUAUCAUCUUAGUUUUAAACAAAAAACACAACAGUAAAUGAAUAAAACAAAAAUCGUGAAAAAGGCUGGGAUUGCUUACCCUAACA
Molecule: long non-coding RNA, 418 nt
Filed under: Mytilus galloprovincialis (Mediterranean mussel)
Lineage: Eukaryota; Metazoa; Mollusca; Bivalvia; Mytilida; Mytilidae
Source: RNAcentral